RNAcentral lists this ribosomal RNA (632 nucleotides) under uncultured bacterium. RNAcentral describes it as "bacterial SSU rRNA". It matches the Rfam family "Bacterial small subunit ribosomal RNA", at positions 138 to 749 of the family's 1533-position model. The record is from RNAcentral.
CUGGAAUAAUACGCCGAAAGGGGUACUAAUACCGGAUAUUCUUGCUUUAUAUAAGUUUUGCAAGCAAAGGUGGCCUCUGACAUAAGCUACUGCAUGAAGAGGGGUCUGCGUACCAUUAGCUUGUAGGUGGGGUAAUGGCCUACCUAGGCAACGAUGGUUAGCGGGUCUGAGAGGAUGAUCCGCCACACUGGCACUGGAACACGGGCCAGACUCCUACGGGAGGCAGCAGUGAGGAAUAUUGCGCAAUGGGGGCAACCCUGACGCAGCGACGCCGCGUGAGUGAGGAAGGCCUUCGGGUCGUAAAGCUCUGUCAAAGGGAAAGAAAUGUAUAAUGGCUAAUACCUGUUAUAUUUGACGGUACCCUUAAAGGAAGCACCGGCUAACUCCGUGCCAGCAGCCGCGGUAAUACGGAGGGUGCAAGCGUUGUUCGGAAUUACUGGGCGUAAAGGGCGCGUAGGCGGUUUGAUAAGUCAGAUGUGAAAGCCCACGGCUUAACUGUGGAAGUGCAUUUGAUACUGUCAGACUUGAGUACCAGAGGGGAAAGUGGAAUUCCCGGUGUAGAGGUGAAAUUCGUAGAUAUCGGGAGGAAUACCGGUGGCGAAGGCGACUUUCUGGCUGGAUACUGACGCUGA